UGGGGAAUAUUGGGCAAUGGGCGCAAGCCUGACCCAGCAACGCCGCGUGAAGGAAGAAGGUUUUCGGAUUGUAAACUUCUGUCCUAAGUGACGAAACAAAUGACGGUAGCUUAGGAGGAAGCCCCGGCUAACUACGUGCCAGCAGCCGCGGUAAUACGUAGGGGGCGAGCGUUGUCCGGAAUGACUGGGCGUAAAUGGCGUGUAGGCGGCUCUUUAAGUAUGGAGUGAAAACCCGUUUUUCAAGGACGGGCCUGCUUUGUAGACUGGAGAGCUUGAGUGCGGAAGAGGUAAGUGGAAUUCCCAGUGUAGCGGUGAAAUGCGUAGAGAUUGGGAGGAACACCAGUGGCGAAGGCGACUUACUGGGCCGUAACUGACGCUGAGGCGCGAAAGCGUGGGGAGCGAACAGGAUUAGAUACCCUGGUA
Molecule: ribosomal RNA, 423 nt
Filed under: uncultured bacterium
Lineage: Bacteria
Description: bacterial SSU rRNA
Rfam family: Bacterial small subunit ribosomal RNA
Source: RNAcentral